AUUGAACGCUGGCGGCAUGCCUUACACAUGCAAGUCGAACGGCAUCGCGGGAAAGCUUGCUUUCCUGGCGGCGAGUGGCGCACGGGUGAGUAACACAUCGGAACGUACCGGCUAGUGGGGGAUAACCCGUCGAAAGACGGGCUAAUACCGCAUACGCUCUUCGGAGGAAAGCAGGGGACCUUUGGGCCUUGCGCUAGCCGAGCGGCCGAUGUCCGAUUAGCUAGUUGGUGGGGUAAAGGCCUACCAAGGCGACGAUCGGUAGCGGGUCUGAGAGGACGAUCCGCCACACUGGGACUGAGACACGGCCCAGACUCCUACGGGAGGCAGCAGUGGGGAAUCUUGGACAAUGGGGGCAACCCUGAUCCAGCAAUGCCGCGUGGGUGAAGAAGGCCUUCGGGUUGUAAAGCCCUUUCGGCAGGGAAGAAAUCGGCGGGGCGAAUAACCCUGCUGGAUGACGGUACCUGCAGAAGAAGCACCGGCUAACUACGUG
RNAcentral lists this ribosomal RNA (490 nucleotides) under uncultured bacterium. RNAcentral's name for it is "partial 16S ribosomal RNA". It matches the Rfam family "Bacterial small subunit ribosomal RNA", at positions 29 to 507 of the family's 1533-position model. The record is from RNAcentral.